CGUGGGUAACCUGCCCAAGAGACUGGGAUAACACCUGGAAACAGAUGCUAAUACCGGAUAACAACACUAGACGCAUGUCUAGAGUUUAAAAGAUGGUUCUGCUAUCACUCUUGGAUGGACCUGCGGUGCAUUAGCUAGUUGGUAAGGUAACGGCUUACCAAGGCAAUGAUGCAUAGCCGAGUUGAGAGACUGAGCGGCCACAUUGGGACUGAGACACGGCCCAAACUCCUACGGAAGGCAGCAG
Molecule: ribosomal RNA, 244 nt
Filed under: uncultured bacterium
Lineage: Bacteria
Description: partial 16S ribosomal RNA
Rfam family: Bacterial small subunit ribosomal RNA
Source: RNAcentral